GCAUCCAUGGCUGAGUGGUUAAAGCACCCGACUCAUAAUUGGGCACUUCGCAGGUUCGAACCCUGCUGGAUGCA
RNAcentral lists this transfer RNA (74 nucleotides) under Mesotaenium endlicherianum. RNAcentral describes it as "tRNA-Met (CAT) (tRNA-Met-CAT-9-1)". It matches the Rfam family "tRNA". Rfam says of the family: Transfer RNA (tRNA) molecules are approximately 80 nucleotides in length. Their secondary structure includes four short double-helical elements and three loops (D, anti-codon, and T loops). Further hydrogen bonds mediate the characteristic L-shaped molecular structure. tRNAs have two regions of fundamental functional importance: the anti-codon, which is responsible for specific mRNA codon recognition, and the 3' end, to which the tRNAs corresponding amino acid is attached (by aminoacyl-tRNA synthetases). tRNAs cope with the degeneracy of the genetic code in two manners: having more than one tRNA (with a specific anti-codon) for a particular amino acid; and 'wobble' base-pairing, i.e. permitting non-standard base-pairing at the 3rd anti-codon position. Lineage: Eukaryota; Viridiplantae; Streptophyta; Zygnematophyceae; Zygnematales; Mesotaeniaceae. The record is from RNAcentral.